Molecule: non-coding RNA, 5010 nt
Organism: Coffea arabica (coffee)
Lineage: Eukaryota; Viridiplantae; Streptophyta; Magnoliopsida; Gentianales; Rubiaceae
Source: RefSeq, a predicted model, not a curated record
UCCAUUUGAAGGAAUUAAUUUCUCGUUCAUUGUUUUUUUUUUGUAUCUGAGGAGCUUUUUCUCUGCUGUUUUGGUUCAAACCCAUUGAUGACAUGGUAGAUAUCUUAACUGAAGUGAUUCUGACAAAAGUCAGUACCACUUGCCACAUGUGGUCCGUAAUAUUGGAGGGCCAACUAGGAAUAUAUUUUGAAAUCACUCUAUUUCUAAGAAAUGAUAGCAUAAUUGGGGCCAUGUUACUCUUAAAGCUUAAUUGUUGCCAAAUGGAAGGAAGACUAUAUAUAAUGCAUACAAUUCAUCUUUAAAAAUUACAAAAGAAAUGUAAUGCUUAUAUUAGUUAAUGGGGCUGGAAAAUUUAGGCAAGGAUGUUUUAUGGUAGUCAUAGGUGUCACGAUCUUAGUUCCUUCUGAAUCAGAAAAUCAACUAUGAUUAUCUAUUUCAUAACAAUGAGAAAGUCCUUGAGCUUUAACUAGACUAGAUAUUGAAAAACCACGAUUUAUGGAUUUAUUCUUAGCUAGUAUGAUUCAUUGGAUUUGAGAGCUUAAUGGUCGUUCAGAUAACACAUGUAAAGAUAGAUGUAUUCACGAUCAUAUUCAAUUAGCAUGUGAUUUUAGCCAGCAAACUGGGGACUUAGUAAUUAGUAUGUAUGAAUAGGCAACAUCUUGUAAUUCUGUCUUGAAGUUUGGCUUGUGAUUUCAAUGUUAAGCUAGUUAGAAAUGUGAUUUUAUAGUGCAAUAGUUUAUGAAAAUCUUCUCCGGGCAUGUAAUUAAGAGCAGAAUCAGAAAAUCACAAAAUAGGAUAUGUUAGCAAUGUCAAAUUCUCAAUAUCAAAUAUCUUUAACAUAGGCAUCCUUGGGCGGGGCUGUACUAGCCUUAGGGAAUUAGUCUGGCCAAAUAAAGUCUGGGACACCCCCAAUUGAAAUAUAUAUAUAUAUAUAUAUAUCUUUAAAAUAGGCGAAUCCGAGAUGUUUUGUUGUUGUUAGCAAUGAAUACCAGAGAUGUAUGGUAACUAUGAUGUAAACAUGAGAGGAAUCAUGAAGGGAACCUUUUUUGAAGAAUGUUUACAUGAGAUACAGGGUGCAUUAUACAAUUAAGUUCUUUGAUAUAGCAAAAAUUAUUUUCCUUCUUGAACUUAAAUGUAAUUACGUUCCUUGAAAUCAUCUAGAUGUUAUGAAGUCAUUCCAGAUAGGAACUAAUGUGACUUAAGUACUACUUUCUGCAUAUGAUUGCAAAUGAACUACUUACCUUUCUUUCCAUUUUUAGGAUUAGAACACAACAAAAGAGAAAAAAAAAGGUUGAUCCGGGAUUUCAGAUUAAAAACCUUCCAAAAAAAAAGAAUCCCUUGUUUAGGAAGUGGACCUAUGUGGAAUAUAAUUCUGCACACUGUGUUUUUUUAAAAAAAAAAAAUUUUCCUUCAUAAAGUGCCCUAGAUGUUCCUGCUUCAUAUAUGGAAGUUAACUCUUUUUCCUUUUUUUUUUCUUUUUUACGCUUUGCAAACAACUCCUAUAUCAGGCUUAGCUCCUAAAAUCCAGUAAGCAUUUUUUUUAGCAGUAACUUCUUUUUUUUUUUUUCCUUUUUUUUGGUAUAAAAGCUGUCAAAAAAGCAUAUUAUGGCAUAGAGCCAAUACUUAUAAAUCAUAUUUCUUCUAAAAAUCAUCUUACAAAAAUCACAAAAAGCUUCAGUGAUGCCCUUAGUUGGACCAAGGAUAUGUGUUAUCAUCUGAUGACAAUAGAAGCUUUAAAGUAGGAGGCAAAGAUUAGAUGUGCAUGUGAUCAAGUGUAACUUGGCAAUCACAUAAAAUUAAUAAGCUUUUAUUGUUAGGGCUCCAGUGAAUCAUUUGAUCUUGAAAGAUAUCUUGGAGUUCUAUAGUGUAUCCCUGUUGAUUUUUCAGAUUUGUUGUAGAUUACAAAUCUAUUUAUACUUGUUGCAUGUUUAAUUGUUCUUUGAUAUUAAUAUAGAUUUAUUGUAAUGAAAUUUUGUCGUUUAUCAAAAAACCUUUUUUAGUAUUUGUUAUGCCUUCGUCUUUGAUAAUUCUAUUUUUGAGAUUGUUUACUAGCAUCUAGAGUUUAAGAUACUAUUAUCAACUCUUAUGGUAUGAGGAAUUGCAAUUCUCGUUUGGAACCUGAAAAAAUGUAUGUACAGACCUUGCUGGCUUGCUCUACAUUUAAGCCAUUAUUCAGUUUGCGAGGAGAGGGUUGAGUUGGGUGAUUUAGGGUGAGAAGGUGUGAGUGAAAGAUCCCAAGUUUGAUACCUCCUACUUAUGUUUAAAGGAAAAAGAUAUUAUUCAUUUGAAAUCAAAUUAAGUUACGUGCCUAAAUUACUAUACUCUUUCUCUUGUCUGCCUUAUAUUUUUGCACGAAGCUUAAUUAGGUCUCAUUCUCUAAUAUUGGUUAUUGGUACAAUGGCAGAGUUAGGACCAUUAUUGAGAGGGUGAAAUAAUUUUAGGUUGAAGUGAUUUGUAAGCUUUUGGUACAACUUAGUGUUUAUUAAAAAUUUAAUCGGCAUGAACCAAUUUAUUCAGUAUUACAACAACAAAAUUAAAAAGCAUUGUCUAUAUAGCUUAUUAUUUACUAUGUGCAGGAGUUUUCUAGUCAUCUAAUGGUAUAAAAUCAUAGUUAAUAUUACGAACAAAAUUAUAAGGUGUACAUUCUAAAAUAGAUAGGAUAGGCAGAUAAUCUUCACAAUUAAAAUAUUAAAUAAAUAUCAAAUUUGCAUGUAAUUCAACUUGUAUGGUUGGGCAUAUAAGUGAAGCUCAAUUUUAAGUAAAAAAGAUUUAUUAGAAAGGAACAAAAAUAUCAUGGUAUUUUAUUUGAAGCUUUGAUUUUAAGAAUAAUUAGAGCAACUAUAGAAAAUUUCAACACUUUUGAGGGGCAAUUAUAGGGCUAGAUGGAAUAUUUUAAAAAUUCAAGAGGGGCAAAAGUGAAGCAACACUAAAAAGCUAAAAUUUUUUAUAGGCCAUUUUAUAAUUUUCAAAAAUUUGAGGGGGUGCAAUUGCAACCUCUUAAGAGAGUGUAGCUCCGCCCCCGAUUGGUACCCAUCACAUUGGGACAUUGCAUUUCCAAGUUGUUUUGGUGGCUUUAUCUUUAACUUAGGGAUUGCUAGUACUUGCCUGAAUUGGAACAAGGGUCUAGGGCCAAUAAGGGGGGUGGAUAAAUUAUAAUCUCCAGGGCGAAAAUAGAAAUGGUAAAAUGUCUCAAUGAAGCAGUAGUAGUAGUAGUAAAAUUUAGAACUAGAAUGAUGCUUUCUCUUUCUGAGUUGAAAUAGGCGGAUUUUGCCCGGAAGGUAAAGAUUCUAAUCAUUGGAGGAAGGUGGGGUCGAUGCUUGCUAGAUUUGGAAAUGCUGGACCAGCCAUGUGAGCCCUCGGUGGAAAGGGAGGAUGUCAUUUUGCUAUUUGGACGAAAACAUGAACCAAAUUAUUCGAUACUCGUUCGAAUUAAACUCACUGUAAUAAGAGUUCGUUCGAACUUGAUUCGCUGAUUAGUCAAGUCACACUCAUUGUAAUAAGAACUCGUUCGAAAUUGAUUCGCUGAUUAGUCAAGUCAAAUUUGAACAACGCUUUAUAUUCCUUAACAUUCAAGUUCAAUAAAAUAUUAGUUCAAACUUGAUUUGACAAAUAAACAAUCUAAAAUUUGAACCAAAUUUCAUUUGAGAAAAAAAAAACAGACAUUAUUCAUUCGAAAAGAAAGUAAAUCAGAACAAGAUACGUGCCGAAAGUACUGUACUCUUUCCCCCAUCUACCUUACACAUUUUUGCACUAAGCUUAAUUAGGUCUCAUUCUCUAAUGGUAGUUAUUAGUACUAAUUAGUCACAUUGGGACAUUGCACUUCCAAGUCGUUUUGGUGACUUCAUCUCUAACGAAGGGAUUGCUAGUACUUGCAUGAAUUGGAACUAGGGUCUAGGGAUAAUGAGUGGGUGGAUAACUUGCAGUAUUCUCUAGGUGGUGAAAAUAGAAAUGGUAAAAUAACUCAAAUGAAGUAGCAGAAGAAGUUGUAAAAUUUAGAAAAUAGAAUGAUCCUUUCUGAGUUGUAAGAGGGCGAAUUUUGCCAAGAAGGUAAAGAUUCUAAUGAUUGGAGGAAGGUGGGGUCAAUGCUUGCUAGAUUUGGAAAUGGCGGAGACGGACCAGCAAUGUGAGCCCUCUGGGAAACGACAGGUAGUUCAAUCACUCAUCAACCAAAGUCAACCUGAAGGCAAGCAUUUAUAAACACACAGUGCCUUGUGGAUGAUCCUAGAAAGAAAACUCGUUCCAACGGUGCAGCCAAGUUGUUGAAGAAGCUGCUAAAUUUUGCACGGCAAACAUUUUCCAUAUCCAGGAAAAAUCAGUGCAUUGGCAGCGGUACCAACAUUCUAUCUCAAGGACAAAAGGUGUAGGUAGGAGAUAAGCACCAAAGGAGAGGAUCAUAUUCUGACAAAGAGCAAGUAAUAAUUAUGGGUGUUGACACUUUGACAGCUGAUGCCAUCAAUGAUCAACAAGGACAUAAACAGGAGAAAUGAGAAAACACAACAUGUUCCAGUUCCACAAUGGAGUUGGAAGACAGAUCUGGUAGUUACUCUGGUAACGACAAAUAUAGAAAACAAGAUCAUCAUCAAGACAGAGUGUAAAGGUACAGUAACAGUUCUAUCAACUUACUCAAAGAUUGUAAGGGGGUUGGUUUGAUGGAUCAAUGUAGUGCACUGCAUGCAUUAUGGCACUGUCAGCUAUCAACAUCGGCAGCACCACCAGCAUCAGUUUAGCAAUUUGUUAGCGACAUUGGUACAUGGCACCAUAAAUGGUUUUCUGAAUUUGCUUUAAAAUAUCGAACCAUGGUGUACUCUAUUUUACCACAAAGAUGGAAUGCUAGACAGAUCAUCUGGUACGGCAAAUGUAGGCCAAAGAUGAAUAGCAGCAACAAAUGCAAAAGUGGUCCAUUUCUUUUUGGUCUCUGCGUAUUUAGAUGGGGCAGAUCAUUUGUCAAAAUCAAGUGGGGCAUUAAUUAUUGGCUUCUCUUGCACCAAAAAUCAAGAAAUUUAUUGUUUC